Long non-coding RNA from Lycium ferocissimum, 318 nucleotides. RefSeq lists it as uncharacterized. The record is from RefSeq and is a predicted model, not a curated record. The transcript has 2 exons. NCBI's taxonomy places the organism in Eukaryota, Viridiplantae, Streptophyta, Magnoliopsida, Solanales, Solanaceae.
UAGAAACAUUUGGUGGCCAUUGUUAAAAGCUAUUGACGAGUUAGUUUGAGCAUUUCUCUCAUUAGGUCAUAAGUUAGAAAAGAAGUGCAUGAACACAUAGCAGUGACCCAAAAAAAGUAGUUGCAGCAAAUGUAUUCUCCAACAUACAUAUUAAAGGACCAGAGAAAAUGAAUGAAGAUGCCAACCUUUGCUGUAAUCAAACAUGGACCUUCUGUUGAUGUAACCUGCACAUCAUAUGGAGAUUGAGAGAAACGUUGGCCGAAGAGAGAGUUGGAGGAGGAAAUGGAGAGACCAAUAAAGGAGCUCGAAAGAGCCAAC